Pelobates cultripes (western spadefoot toad) is the source of this 223-nucleotide non-coding RNA. The record is from the annotation of a GenBank genome assembly. NCBI's taxonomy places the organism in Eukaryota, Metazoa, Chordata, Amphibia, Anura, Pelobatidae.
GUCUGCAUGCAGUGGGAGGAAAUACUGAAUCACAAGAUGCUCAUGCACAGCAGAUCUGAGUGGAUGGAGGCAUAUUAUGCCUCCAUCAACUCAGAAGUCCCUCUGGUUCACCCUGAGUGACUGCAACUGGAGGUGUUCCUAGCUUUCAAUGUAAACAAUGUGUUUUCUCAGAAAAUACAGUGUUUACAUGAGAAAGGAUGUAGGGAGCUAUAGUUCUCACCUG